GCAUAUCAAUAAGCGGAAGAAAAAAGAAAACCAACAGAGAAUUGCCUCAGUAACGGCGAGUGAAGCGGCAACAGCUCAAAUUUGAAAUCUGGCCCCCAGGCCCGAGUUGUAAUUUGUAGAGGAUGCUUCUGGCGACGCGACUUCCGAGUUCCCUGGAACGGGACGCCAAAGAGGGUGAGAGCCCCGUCCGGUCGUUCGCCUAGCCUCUGUGAAGCUCCUUCGACGAGUCGAGUAGUUUGGGAAUGCUGCUCUAAAUGGGAGGUAUACGUCUUCUAAAGCUAAAUACCGGCCCAGAGACCGAUAGCGCACAAGUAGAGUGAUCGAAAGAUGAAAAGCACUUUGAAAAGAGGGUUAAAUAGUACGUGAAAUUGCUGAAAGGGAAGCGCUUAUGACCAGACUUGGGCCAGGUGAAUCAUCCGGCGUUCUCGCCGGUGCACUUUGCCUGCCCAGGCCAGCAUCAGUUCGCUUCGGGGGAUAAAGGCUUCGGGAAUGUAGCUCCUCCGGGAGUGUUAUAGACCGUUGCGUAAUACCCUGGGGCGGACUGAGGUACGCGUUCUGCAAGGAUGCUGGCGUAAUGGUCAUCAGUGACCCGUCUUGAAACACGGACCAAGGAGUCGUCUUCGUAUGCGAGUGUUCGGGUGUCAAACCCCUACGCGUAAUGAAAGUGAACGUAGGAGAGAGCUUCGGCGCAUCUCCGACCGAUCCUGAUGUUCUCGGAUGGAUUUGAGUAAGAGCAUACGGGGCCGGACCCGAAAGAAGGUGAACUAUGCCUGUAUAGGGUGAAGCCAGAGGAAACUCUGGUGGAGGCUCGCAGCGGUUCUGACGUGCAAAUCGAUCGUCAAAUAUGGGCAUGGGGGGCGAAAGACUAAUCGAACCUUUCUAGUAGCUGGGUUUCCGCCGA
RNAcentral lists this ribosomal RNA (901 nucleotides) under Geosmithia putterillii. Its description in RNAcentral is "LSU rRNA". It matches the Rfam family "Eukaryotic large subunit ribosomal RNA", at positions 38 to 964 of the family's 3401-position model. The record is from RNAcentral. Lineage: Eukaryota; Fungi; Ascomycota; Sordariomycetes; Hypocreales; Bionectriaceae.